AGAGUUGAUCCUGGCUCAGAUUGAACGCUGGCGGCGUGCCUACACAUGCAAGUCGAACGGUAACAGGCUGAGAGAGCCUUCGGGUGAUCUCGGUGCUGACGAGUGGCGAACGGGUGAGUAAUGCUUGGGAAUCUGCCUGUUAGUGGGGGAUAACCCGGGGAAACUCGGGCUAAUACCGCAUACGCUCUACGGAGGAAAGCUGGGGACCGCAAGGCCUGGCGCUAACAGAUGAGCCCAAGUCGGAUUAGCUAGUUGGUAGGGUAACGGCCUACCAAGGCGACGAUCCGUAGCUGGUCUGAGAGGACGACCAGCCAUACUGGGACUGAGACACGGCCCAGACUCCUACGGGAGGCAGCAGUGGGGAAUAUUGGACAAUGGGCGGAAGCCUGAUCCAGCGACGCCGCGUGGGUGAAGAAGGCCUGCGGGUUGUAAAGCCCUUUCGGUGGGGAAGAAAAGCUUCGACCUAAUACGUCGAGGUCUUGACGUAACCCACAGAAGAAGCACCGGCUAACUCUGUGCCAGCAGCCGCGGUAAUACAGAGGGUGCGAGCGUUAAUCGGAAUUACUGGGCGUAAAGCGCGCGUAGGCGGCUUUGCAAGUCGGGUGUGAAAUCCCUGGGCUUAACCUAGGAACUGCACUCGAGACUGCAUUGCUAGAGUAUGGUAGAGGGAAGUGGAAUUUCCGGUGUAGCGGUGAAAUGCGUAGAUAUCGGAAGGAACACCAGUGGCGAAAGCGACUUCCUGGACCAAUACUGACGCUCGGGCGCGAAAGCGUGGGGAGCAAACAGGAUUAGAUACCCUGGUAGUCCACGCCAUAAACGAUGAGAACUGGAUGUCGGGAGGGUCUGCCUCUCGGUGUCGUAGCUAACGCGUUAAGUUCUCCGCCUGGGGAGUACGGCCGCAAGGUUGAAACUCAAAUGAAUUGACGG
RNAcentral lists this ribosomal RNA (927 nucleotides) under uncultured bacterium. Its description in RNAcentral is "bacterial SSU rRNA". It matches the Rfam family "Bacterial small subunit ribosomal RNA", at positions 8 to 916 of the family's 1533-position model. The record is from RNAcentral.